GGAGAGCGGCCGCGGCACGGCACGGCACGGCACGGCCGCAGUGUGCCCUAGCCCGACCCCCGCCCCCGCUGUGAGCCCCCUCCGACACCGUCACUGGGGCUUAGAAGGCGUUUCUGCCCCGCCGGAGCGGCCGGGGAGUUCCGGCAGCGGGGCUUCGGGAACAGCGGAGGAUGCUGUCGGACUUGGAGUUAAAGUCAGUUCCUGAUGGAACAGGAUUAUGUCCUGCCGCUUGCUACAGGUAUUGCUGCACUUAGUCCUCAUUCAUGCGAGUAAAGCCAUUACAGUGCGAGAGGCUUCUUUUGCAGUCAGAACCACAGUAAUGAAGCCUCACGCCACUGUCCCUGGGACUUGAACUCCAUUUGGAUCUGCAAGUGUCGGCUCCAAAGUGGAACUGACUGAAAGUUUGGAGCUCACAUGUGGAAUGGCAAGCCCCUCCUGCCUGCUCGCAGGAUCUUUACAGUAGUCAGGUAAGUGUUGUGCAAGCAAGAUUGAACUGAAACUGAUUCUUUGGCUUUUACCCAGUCAUCGUUCCUGGAAGGAGAUUUCAAGCAACAAGUGCAAGAUGUUUCUACGUGGCAAAAUAUUCUGAUAUGCCUAUACACAUAACUGUACCCCUAGACUUAGGCCAGUAAAUUUUGACAUGUAUAGGCAGUUCUGGUAUGACUUUAAACUCAUUUUAAAGUCCAGGAACACUGAGGCCUGGAGGACUUAAGGCCCUGAGAGUUUUACCAGAUGAACAGUUGUCCUGCCCACCCAAGUGCAUUGUGAGUCUGAAGACACAGAAGAGGAGUAACUUGCCCAAGAUCACAGAAGGAGCAUGACAGCAGCAGUAAAAAAUGCCCAGGUCUAUGCCUGUGAAGGUAUCAGCUCUUCUUUCCUACUUCAUAAUCUAAAAUUCAUCGAUUUCAUUGCCACAUAUGCCGCAUAAAUACCACAUAUAUUGCAAACAGGUGAAUUGUACCAUGUUGUUAGGUAUUAUGCUACAAUAAUAGUAGAGGAACUCCCACACAGGAUGAUGCCAUAAUAUUGAUGGGGAAAGCCUUGAAUAAAAUUACUCUUUUACUGCUUAAAUUUUGAACCUUGAAUGAUUCAAGAUGAGUGAACUUCGGUAAUCAGCUUUAAUGCACUGUACACAACUGCACUUAGCAAGUAAACUUUUCUUUUUAUGUGCAAUCACAGAUAUAGUGCAGCACUGGGCUGCAGAUACAACUGGUAGAGUUUAUCUCAAGACAAACUGAAACGUCUUUAAAUUUUGGCACUGUAAUGAAGGCAUUUGCGAGCAAAGUACAGGAGAAACAUGAAACUGAUACUGGGUUUUGUACUGUGGUAUUGUUUAAUCUGGAUCCAGGUGUCCUGGAUCAAGAGUAGUGAAUGCAGCAGUAGUACCUGCCCCAAGAGCUUGGCAGUCUCAGUGAUCCAGUCUCACACAGAGAAAAACAUGGAAAAGGCCUUUCAUGUGCCUGAGCUCUGCUCUGAUGUGCUCUGCGGGCUGACUUGGCGGGCACAAGCUCCAUCCACUGGAUCCUGGUUGCUGAAGUAUCAAUUCAUGAUUCACACUAAACAGAUAUGACAAGGAGAUAAUUAGGGAAGCACUGCAGUUUGUCAGAUGUCUUGUUAGAACCACGUUUUUACUGCUUUUUUUGUUGUUGUUAGGGUUGACCGGUUGGUUGGCUUUAGCAUGAGAGAAUUAAAUUAUUUUCUACUUACGUUGAGGCUUGUGGAGGAUCACAUUAAUAUGCUGCUUUCCCUAAAAAAGGCUAUGAAACAGCCUAGGAGAGUCUUUCUCCGAUGUUUAAUAACCAGAGUGGUUGUCCUGGAGAGGGCUGGGUAGCCUGGCUUCAGACAGAGCAGUGGUGUGAGAAGGCCAGGGGAAAAGGCAGAAACAGUGUGCCCUGGUCAUAUCUGCCUCGAGGCUUCCCUGGCUGGGCUGUUCUGGCACACUGGCCAGAACAAAACUUCAAGUCUGCCCCCUGCUUUAGGAUGUGCAGGUGGAGCUGACUGUCCAAACCCAUUACUCUGUGGGUGAGCAGCAUCAGCAGUGUCUUAGUGCACACUCACCACUUCUAACUCCACUGGCUACUUUAAUACCCUGAAUCAUUAACUUCUUCUUGCCUUUUCUGAAUAACAUUAGAAAACUGAAAAAAGGAGAUCAGAGAGGUAUGUAUACCUGGGUAUCAACCUUGAUGCUCCUCUGCACUGGGCUGAAUAACUGUGCUAUCUCAAAAGGCAACAGAGAAUGGGUUUGUUCUCUUUUUGCUCUGCAGCUACAUGAUCAUUCAGACUAGUGCAAGGAAAACAGGCCGUGAGGCUGGGGCAAUGAAGAAAGAGAAGAACCAUUCCUUGUGUAAACUGCCUGGCUUUUCAUCAGAUUAGGUGCACAAUCUGAUGGCACCAUCAGUCAUAAGGCCUGUGGACCUGAAUUUUAAUGAGUUGGGGCACUUACACAGAUAAAUGUCUAAUAUGAGUCUCAAAGAAAACUUUAAUCUCACAGACACUUUCUAACAUCUCACCAAGCACCUGCCCAAUCGCCUUUAAAAUCUGUGUCUCGGAAACUGAUUAUCAGAAGGCUGAGUUCUAAAAGACAUUCAUUAUGCUGCAUAUUUUAGACUAUUCAAUUAUGUAACAAGCAUUUAAGAAAUACUACUACUACUACUAAUACUGUGGCUACAACAACUAUUGGCUUUUGAUCUUCCUCCAAAAUCCAAGUUUGUAGGUAGGUUAUGAUUUGGUAUUUCUUGCUAACUUCAGCCAGGCUUCAUCUGACUUAAUCAAGAAGUCCCAGGGAUAGUGACUGUCUUCUGGAGACAGUUUAGCUCCAAAGUCAGUAACUUUGCUUUACCUUCAUGUACACUAGGUUUCUGCCAGAAAUUACGAGUUUCAUGGAUAAUUAAAUAAUAUCAAACAGACAACUUAUUAUUUACAUUAAAAUCACUGGAGUAAUUUUCUUUUCAGCCAUUACACUUUUUGUUGCCCUAGUGUGGGAAAAUACCAACAAUAUUUUCAGAGUGAAGAGGCAGUUCUCUCAAGAAGAAUAAUAGCUUCCUAAGGAUACUAGAUUUCAUUAUUUCCUUCUUUCUUGGGCUGGGUGAUGAAAUUUAUCACCCUCUGUCCUUCAUGACUUGUCUGCUUGUCUUUGAGUAGGUGAGGUAUUAAACAAGACUCCUACCUCAGCAUUAUUAACAUAGGAUAUGCAGACUGCUUAGCAACUGCAUAGAUCUAUUUGGGAACAGUGCCUCAGGCAGAAGACAGCAUGUGGGAGAAGGUGAGGAGCAUUUUUAGGAGGUCAUCAUAACUGUGCAGCACUGCAUAUGGUUUUCCAAGUCCAUCUGGAUACAAGGUCAUGUAUAGCCACAGUACAAGCCCAGGAAAAAAGGAACUAAGUUGUAAAAGGCCUUGAAGGCAACACUUGUGACUUGAGAGCUCUCUGUAGUCUUGCUCUGGGAGUCUGGCCAUUUUCUAGAAUGAGCCUUGCAUGAGUUUGACUCUAUAUAGAGUCAAAUAUCUGCUUGGGACCUGCCUUAGUAUUGUGACUCACUGUCAUAGGCAAAAGAACAAAGAAUUCAUUUCAUUCUCAGAAGUUCUUCCUAAACUGGCCCACUGCGAUUAAGUGGGAUUUACAUAGAAUAAAUGUGGAACUUGAUAAUUUUACAAGGUUAUUAUGUGUAUACCUCUGUUAUAUUAAAUAAGGCUUCUGCCAUAAAUAUAUCUGCAGAUACCAGAAAGGUCUUCGAUCAGAUUGAGUAGUCAUUCAUCUUUUCCACCAUUGGGAUGAUGGGAAUCAGACCUAAAUUCAUUAUUUUCUUAAGAUUAAUGUGCCCAGCUAAAGCUGCCAAGAUCGUUAUUAAAAGUUACAAUUCCAAAAGGUUUGGGCUGAAACAAAGUAUUAAGCAAGGCACUCCCUUAUCUCCUUUAUUGGUGGUUUUCUCAUCAGACUCUGAUGUAAGGACUUUCCUCCAGCAAUGUUACAUUUCUGGUAAAGAAGGGAGGUUGCCCUCUGUUCUGACAGCUCAUCACGUGCUUUCACGAAGCACAGCAUUCCUGCCCACUGCACUGCACCAGUACUGUACUUUCUAGAGAAUGGAAUUCUCCCUUUGGAUCUUGCCUGAAUCCACAUAGAAGCUUUUGAAAGUAGUUUCACUUUCUCCUGGCUAUCACCUCAUCGAGGGAUAAUGGACUCGGUGCAAUCAAACAUUAUUGGUUCUUUGAAAAUUAAAUUUCUCUUCAGUCAUUCAGCUUAAAAAGAUUUACAUAACUGGAAUAACCUAGCUCUGUUGCUGGUUUCUUGGAAGACACUGCUAAGAUUAAUCUUAUCUCCCACUUUAAUUACUGUUUUCAAGUUCUUACAGUCCUUGUCCCAGUUACAUCUUGUUGCGAAAACCACCAGAGAAUGAUAUAUUAAAAUUUAUUCAGACAGGUGGCAGAGACAAAAUUAAAGCUAAUAACUCUAUGAGAAAAGAAAUCAAAGGUGGUUUGGCAAUCCUGAGGUGUUAUUUCUUGGUCCCUCAGUUGCAGUGGCUGCACAAGCAGGGUCCAAAUGCCUGGGCUGUGUGAGUGGCUGUGGGCCACAGCUUUGCUGUGCAGGACUCGGGACUGCCACGGUCCCACAAGUGCACUAACAUCCAUGGGAUAAGGAGCCUUGGAGCAGGACUGCUUGUGGAAAAACAAUGGUAAGUGUCUCAUUAGAGGGUUCUGUCUCAUUUAUACCCAAAGAGGAGACUACUAUAUCACACCACUGGAGGACUAAUGAAAUUACACAUACGGCAUCUGAAUGCAUCCCUUCACUUCUGUGUUCUUUGUUGACAUUUUGUGACAAAAUACUCAGCCCACUUUAUAUAAGGAUUAAAAACGUAAAAGGAGAAGGCUCUGAAUUCUAAGUCAGGUUGCCUGAGCUCAGUGUCACUCUUGGCUGAGUAAGUCAGAAGUGAAACAGUCCCACCCUCCCUGCUCCACAAGGGCUGCUCAGCCCUAACCCCGUGUCACCCACCCGCUCUGUGCUGGCACAGUUGUUGUGCAGCUGUGAGCUGAACAGGCCCAGGGAACUCAGAUGGCUGGGGAGAGCAAAUGUUUCAGGGGCCAAGCUCCUUUUUAAUUUGGAUCAGUUUCCUGAUCUGGCUCAUUUUGUGGUUGUCCAAAUGCUUGCACUGAUCUUGUGCAGAGGCAGGACUGAGGUAGGAGGAAGGGUGAAACUUAUCUUUUUGAUUGUGUUGUUGACUUCUGUCAGUUUAAGGUGGUUAUGAAACUUUGUGAGAGACUAAGAGAGCUUUUUUUUUUUUUUUUUUUGACCAAGGAAAAAUACUUAAUUUUGAGUGUAACUGCAAAGAUGUUUGUAGAACUGCACUAACCAUAUGCACAGGGCUCACCGGUGAAUAACAAAAGACAAAGAGAAUGAGUGACUGUACUGAGAAAUUCAGUGAACUGAUGUGAUCACUGCAUAUUAGAAAAGGCAGCUGUUUGACAUUGCACUACAUGGUAAAAAGAAAAAAAUGUGUUGCUCUUCUGCUGCUCAUAAACCAACCAGAGGCCAAAGAAUUGCAAGGAUCCCACCAAAAAUUAUUAAUUAACUCUUCAAAAGACAGAGUUAUUCUCAGUUGGCUUAAAAGAAGCCGAUAGCUCAGUGCUAGGUAUGCCUGCAUUCCCAUGGAUUUUUUCCUUUCCCAUGUUCUCCAGAGUCUUCCUUUGCUCUUUGCUUAAGGCGUGGAAGAAAGUGAACUUUGGAGAGUAAGUAAAUCAGAUUUAAUUAGUCAUCACAAGGCAAUGGGCUCUUAGUGAAUUCUCAAUGGCAGACAGCUCUGAGAAUGAAUGUAUGUGUGUUACAUUAGUUUGCACUUUGAGGAGGAAAUUACCUUGCAGGUUUCAGACAACCUGGCAGUCCCACAAAGUGUUGGAAAAGGUUGCCCACAUGACAAAAGCUUUUAGACCAAUUUUAAAUGCCACUAUUUUCUUGCUUCACCCAAAAUUGUCAAAAUUUUGACAAACAGGUUUGAGCAGCUUUUAAAUAAAAACCCUCCACAUUUCAUAAAAAGUUACACAAAUCACAUUCAUAAAUCCUCUGUAUAAGUAAUUUUUUUUUUAAUUAAGCUAAACACUUGAAAGUUGCAACCAGUCCAAACUAGCAUUACUAGUAUAAUCUUAGUUAAGCACUCAGUUUGAGUGCAUCCUGGUACCUGUCUUUAACUGAGUGAUCAUUUAUGUUUCUUCCUAAAGACCCUCUCUUAUUCAGUGAACAGAACAAAUAGUGGCCAAAUAAUGG
Molecule: long non-coding RNA, 6250 nt
Filed under: Taeniopygia guttata (zebra finch)
Lineage: Eukaryota; Metazoa; Chordata; Aves; Passeriformes; Estrildidae
Description: lncRNA (ENSTGUG00000028558.1)
Source: RNAcentral